RNAcentral lists this ribosomal RNA (497 nucleotides) under uncultured bacterium. Its description in RNAcentral is "partial 16S ribosomal RNA". It matches the Rfam family "Bacterial small subunit ribosomal RNA", at positions 28 to 507 of the family's 1533-position model. The record is from RNAcentral.
GAUGAACGCUGGCGGCGUGCCUAAUACAUGCAAGUCGAGCGAACGGACGAGAAGCUUGCUUCUCUGAUGUUAGCGGCGGACGGGUGAGUAACACGUGGAUAACCUACCUAUAAGACUGGGAUAACUUCGGGAAACCGUAGCUAAUACCGGAUAAUAUUUUGAACCGCAUGGUUCAAAAGUGAAAGACGGCCUUGCUGUCACUUAUAGAUGGAUCCGCGCUGCAUUAGCUAGUUGGUAAGGUAACGGCUUACCAAGGCAACGAUGCAUAGCCGACCUGAGAGGGUGAUCGGCCACACUGGAACUGAGACACGGUCCAGACUCCUACGGGAGGCAGCAGUAGGGAAUCUUCCGCAACGGGCGAAAGCCUGACGGAGCAACGCCGCGUGAGUGAUGAAGGUCUUCGGAUCGUAAAACUCUGUUAUUAGGGAAGAACAUAUGUGUAAGUAACUGUGCACAUCUUGACGGUACCUAAUCAGAAAGCCACGGCUAACUACGUG